Molecule: ribosomal RNA, 251 nt
Filed under: uncultured bacterium
Lineage: Bacteria
Description: partial 16S ribosomal RNA
Rfam family: Bacterial small subunit ribosomal RNA
Source: RNAcentral
CCCUAGUAGAGUGGCGAACGGGUGAGUAAUACAUCGGAACAUGUCCUGUAGCGGGGGAUAACCUCGAGAAAUCGAGGCUAAUACCGCAUACGUCCUAAGGGAGAAAGCGGGGGAUCGCAAGACCUCGCGCGAUUGGAGCGGCCGAUAUCAGAUUAGGUUGUUGGUGAGGUAAAAGCUCACCAAGCCGACGAUCUGUAGCUGGUCUGAGAGGACGACCAGCCACACUGGAACUGAGACACGGUCCAGACUCC